This 254-nucleotide ribosomal RNA is filed under the name uncultured bacterium. RNAcentral describes it as "partial 16S ribosomal RNA". It matches the Rfam family "Bacterial small subunit ribosomal RNA", at positions 524 to 776 of the family's 1533-position model. The record is from RNAcentral.
UACGGAGGGGGCUAGCGUUGUUCGGAAUUACUGGGCGUAAAGCGCACGUAGGCGGCUUUGCAAGUUAGAGGUGAAAGCCCGGGGCUCAACCCCGGAAUUGCCUUUAAGACUGCAUCGCUUGAAUCCGGGAGAGGUGAGUGGAAUUCCGAGUGUAGAGGUGAAAUUCGUAGAUAUUCGGAAGAACACCAGUGGCGAAGGCGGCUCACUGGACCGGGUAUUGACGCUGAGGUGCGAAAGCGUGGGGAGCAAACAGG